RNAcentral lists this long non-coding RNA (1435 nucleotides) under Gallus gallus (chicken). Lineage: Eukaryota; Metazoa; Chordata; Aves; Galliformes; Phasianidae. The record is from RNAcentral.
GGACGUACCAACGCCAUCCGCACGGAACUCAGUGGGGGGGGAAAAAACCCCCCCAAAACCCGACCGCAACAAACCCACCCCCAGCGAGCCGAGCUCUGCGCCGCGCUGCCUCCGCGCUCCCCCACCUCCGCGCGGCUAAAGGUGACCUUUCCGAUGGAAACCAAAUCCCACGAAGUCCCCCCGCUGCUGCCCCGCUCCCCCCGCGCUCGGAUCGGAGGAGCGCUGCGAGCCGUCCCCGCGCCAAUGGAUGCUCCGCGCUCCCCACUCGCUGUCAUUCAUCGCGUUCCGCUCUACAGACCGUGCUGUUUUUUGUCUGUAAAGGGCUUCGCUCGGGUUCUCCUUCCCCCCCAUCCCCAGUACCUGAUGAGUAUGGAGACCCCGACGUCCUCGCAGUUGGCGUACACCCUGCUCCAUGUCUCCUGAAUAACCUUCUUCUCCGCGUCGGAGAUCUCCUCACUUCGCUCCCACCUCUCGAUCUCCAUUUCACCCUGGACUUUCUCCAUGGGGAGCUGCGUGCGCUGCGCCGGGAGCCGGGAGGGGAUGUGCGUGAGAGCGGCGAGGUGUGCGCCCAGCAGCUGCGCCCUCGGAGCUGGAAUUUCGGCUAUCUCCUACAGCUCGGGUCUCCCCAUGGCUGUAGCAGCUCCCGCUCAGCCUGGAUGCGGGCGGCUGACUGAUGGGAAACUGCCGAAAAGUGAAAUAUUCAAAGGCAUCGCAGGACCAGCCUCUUCCAACGUGUGAACGCACCCCGAGGGAGAGGAAGAGGAGUCCAGGAGGGAGGAAGGCUCUGAGCCUCGCGCCACCUAACGCUGCUGCAGAGCCAGACCAGGAUUUACAGGUCUCUUUGCCUACUGGUGAGGCUGCGUGAGCUCUGGAAAGUGGCUGCUCCUGAGGUGCGUGGAAAUAGAGACACAGAGCCUGAACUGGGCAGACCAGGGGGGGGGAAAGCCCUUUCUGGUGCUUCCAACAGCUGCCCAGCUCCCAGCCACAGAACACGCCGAGAACCCCUCCAAAACCCACCUCCAUGGUGCAGCUCGGGGUAAACCGAGGCCAAAUGCUGCAAAUCCCGAAUGCUGGGUCCGGAGGGGCUUUGGGUAACCCCACAGCGAUGCCCUUUGGGAGCCAUAAGGCAGCCCAUGGGCACGGGGCGAUGGCACGUUGUGCUCCCGGCGCUGGGACUCUCCCAGCUCUCCCACCCGUGCACACACAUUAAUAAAAGAUCAGUUUGCAGACGCAGCUUGCUGUAGACGACAGCAUUAGAGGCGCAUCUGGUUUCUGCUAAGCACCGGUCUCGUGCUGGGUUUAUUUGGUCCAUUUGUGGCAGGGAAGAGUUGCUUUCAGCAUUCAAUGGUGUCUCAUGUCUGGGAGAGGUGGGGGGGGAAGAUGUAUUUUUGGUGCAGCUUAGCCACAAAAAUUCAGUCUCGGAAUAAAGACAAAU